AAUCAACGCUGGCGGCGUGCCUAACACAUGCAAGUCGAACGCGAAAGUGGAGCAAUCCAUGAGUAGAGUGGCAAACGGGUGAGUAACGCGUGGGCGACCUACCUCUGAGUGGGGGAUAACCUUCCGAAAGGAGGGCUAAUACCGCAUGACAUCCCGUGUUUGGAUACACGGACAUCAAAGCCGGGGAUCGCAAGACCUGGCGCUUGGAGAGGGGCCCGCGUCCGAUUAGCAGUUGGUGAGGUAACGGCUCACCAAGGCUCCGAUCGGUAUCCGGCCUGAGAGGGCGGACGGACACACUGGAACUGAGACACGGUCCAGACUCCUACGGGAGGCAGCAGUGGGGAAUUGUUCGCAAUGGGCGCAAGCCUGACGACGCAACGCCGCGUGGAGGAUGAAGAC
RNAcentral lists this ribosomal RNA (399 nucleotides) under uncultured bacterium. RNAcentral describes it as "bacterial SSU rRNA". It matches the Rfam family "Bacterial small subunit ribosomal RNA", at positions 29 to 415 of the family's 1533-position model. The record is from RNAcentral.